RNAcentral lists this unclassified non-coding RNA (89 nucleotides) under Pseudomonas sp. NFACC56-3. Lineage: Bacteria; Pseudomonadati; Pseudomonadota; Gammaproteobacteria; Pseudomonadales; Pseudomonadaceae. The record is from RNAcentral.
UGUGGGAGCGAGCUUGCUCGCGAUGAGGCCAUGACAUUCAGCAUCAAUGUUGCUGUCAGGCCGCCAUCGCGAGCAAGCUCGCUCCCACA